GGGCACGUAGCUCAGUUGGUUAGAGCGUCACACUGAUAAUGUGAAGGUCGGUGGUUCAACUCCACCCGUGCCCACCA
Molecule: transfer RNA, 77 nt
Filed under: Candidatus Uhrbacteria bacterium
Lineage: Bacteria; Candidatus Uhriibacteriota
Description: tRNA-Ile
Rfam family: tRNA
About the family: Transfer RNA (tRNA) molecules are approximately 80 nucleotides in length. Their secondary structure includes four short double-helical elements and three loops (D, anti-codon, and T loops). Further hydrogen bonds mediate the characteristic L-shaped molecular structure. tRNAs have two regions of fundamental functional importance: the anti-codon, which is responsible for specific mRNA codon recognition, and the 3' end, to which the tRNAs corresponding amino acid is attached (by aminoacyl-tRNA synthetases). tRNAs cope with the degeneracy of the genetic code in two manners: having more than one tRNA (with a specific anti-codon) for a particular amino acid; and 'wobble' base-pairing, i.e. permitting non-standard base-pairing at the 3rd anti-codon position.
Source: RNAcentral